Molecule: non-coding RNA, 109 nt
Organism: Acanthosepion pharaonis
Lineage: Eukaryota; Metazoa; Mollusca; Cephalopoda; Sepiida; Sepiidae
Source: the annotation of a GenBank genome assembly
AACCAUAUCCUGUUGAAACACCAGUUCACAUACAAUCACUUAAGUUAAGCAACAUUGAGCCUGGUCAGUACUUGGAUGGGUGACUGCUUGGAAAUACCAGAUAGUGCAU